Molecule: non-coding RNA, 234 nt
Organism: Pelobates cultripes (western spadefoot toad)
Lineage: Eukaryota; Metazoa; Chordata; Amphibia; Anura; Pelobatidae
Source: the annotation of a GenBank genome assembly
UCUGUCAGUGUAAUCUGCACCUCCACCAGGCUAAACAAUUCUUCUUCAUAGUAUGAGUCAGGAUCUGGAGUAUCUCGAAACCACAGGGUGCAAUGUAGUUGGGUCUCGGGUUGUUCAUCAUGUGGAAUUGUGGGCUUUUCAAUUUGUAGUUCCAUGUAAACAUCAGGAUGUAUAUGCAAACUGUACCAGUAUUGUGGAACUCCCCCCUUGGGAAGUGGCAGAAGAGUGGCCGGA